CACAUCCACUUUGUAGUUAUAUUUACACCUACAAAUAUAAUUACAAAAUGGAUUUUGGCUCAUGUAUUAUUAAGGGUAUAUCCUGAGAAUAGUGGAAAUCAGUGAACAAAUCCCCCUUUAAUAGCAAAUACAACCCCUAUUGAUAAUACAUAGUGGAAAUGUGCAACUACAUAGUAUGUGUCGUGGAGAACAAUAUUGAGAGAACAAUUGGCAAGAACAAUUCCAGUUAAGCCUCCAACUGUAAAAAGGAAAACAGAGCCUAGAGCUCAUAUUAUAGCAGGUGAUCAUUUAAUGUUACCUCCGUGAAGUGUUGCUAAUCAACUAAAGACUUUCACUCCAGUUGGGAUGGCAAUAAUUAUGGUAGCUGAUGUGAAAUAGGCUCGUGUGUCAACGUCUAUUCCAACUGU
Molecule: long non-coding RNA, 407 nt
Organism: Cervus elaphus (red deer)
Lineage: Eukaryota; Metazoa; Chordata; Mammalia; Artiodactyla; Cervidae
Exons: 3
Source: RefSeq, a predicted model, not a curated record